RNAcentral lists this ribosomal RNA (469 nucleotides) under Hymenoscyphus lasiopodius. RNAcentral's name for it is "partial ribosomal RNA". The stretch from base 162 to 315 matches the Rfam family "5.8S ribosomal RNA". Lineage: Eukaryota; Fungi; Ascomycota; Leotiomycetes; Helotiales; Helotiaceae. The record is from RNAcentral.
UACAGUGUUCCUGCCCUCACGGGUAGAAGCCCCCACCCUUGUAUAUUCUAUCUUGUGGCUUUGGCAGGCCGCCUUGGGGCACCGGCUCGCGCCGGCUCGUGCCUGCCAGAGGACCCCAAAUUCUAAAUGUUAGUGUCGUCUGAGUAUUAUAUAAUAGUUAAAACUUUCAACAACGGAUCUCUUGGUUCUGGCAUCGAUGAAGAACGCAGCGAAAUGCGAUAAGUAAUGUGAAUUGCAGAAUUCAGUGAAUCAUCGAAUCUUUGAACGCACAUUGCGCCCCUUGGUAUUCCGAGGGGCAUGCCUGUUCGAGCGUCAUUUAAACCAAUCUAGCUUGCUAGGUCUUGGGCUUUCGCCUCUGGGCGGGCCUCAAAAUCAGUGGCGGUGCUGCCGGGCUUUAAGCGUAGUAAUCUUUCUCGCUAUAGGGUCCUGGUAGAGGCUUGCCAACAACUAUAAAUCUUUCAAAGGUUGA